GGUGAGUAACACGUGAGUAACCCGCCCCCCGAGAGCGGGAUAGCCCUGGGAAACUGGGAUUAAUUACCGCAUAGUAUCGAAAGAUUAAAGCAGCAAUGCGCUUGGGGGUGGGCUCGCGGCCUAUUAGUUAGUUGGUGAGGUAACGGCUCACCAAGGCGAUGACGGGUAGCCGGUCUGAGAGGAUGUCCGGCCACACUGGAACUGAGACACGGUCCAGACACCUACGGGUGGCAGCAGUCGAGAAUUAUUCACAAUGGGGGAAACCCUGAUGGUGCGACGCCGCGUGGGGGAAUGAAGGUCUUCGGAUUGUAAACCCCUGUCAUGUGGGAGCAAAUUAAAAAGAUAGUACCACAAGAGGAAGAGACGGCUAACUCUGUGCCAGCAGCCGCGGUAAUACAGAGGUCUCAAGCGUUGUUCGGAAUCACUGGGCGUAAAGCGUGCGUAGGCUGUUUCGUAAGUCGUGUGUGAAAGGCGCGGGCUCAACCCGCGGACGGCACACGAUACUGCGAGACUAGAGUAAUGGAGGGGGAACCGGAAUUCUCGGUGUAGCAGUGAAAUGCGUAGAUAUCGAGAGGAACACUCGUGGCGAAGGCGGGUUCCUGGACAUUAACUGACGCUGAGGCACGAAGGCCAGGGGAGCGAAAGGGAUUAGAUACCCCUGUAGUCCUGGCAGUAAACGGUGCACGCUUGGUGUGCGGGGAAUCGACCCCCUGCGUGCCGGAGCUAACGCGUUAAGCGUGCCGCCUGGGGAGUACGGUCGCAAGAUUAAAACUCAAAGAAAUUGACGGGGACCCGCACAAGCGGUGGAGUAUGUGGCUUAAUUCGAUGCAACGCGAAGAACCUUACCUGGGCUUGACAUGUAAUGAACAACAUGUGAAAGCAUGCGACUCUUCGGAGGCGUUACACAGGUGCUGCAUGGCCGUCGUCAGCUCGUGUCGUGAGAUGUUUGGUUAAGUCCAGCAACGAGCGCAACCCCUGUUGCCAGUUACCAGCACGUGAAGGUGGGGACUCUGGCGAGACUGCCCAGAUCAACUGGGAGGAAGGUGGGGACGACGUCAGGUCAGUAUGGCCCUUAUGCCCAGGGCUACACACGUACUACAAUGCCCAGUACAGAGGGGGCCGAAGGCGCGAGGCGGAGGAAAUCCUAAAAACUGGGCCCAGUUCGGACUGUAGGCUGCAACCCGCCUACACGAAGCCGGAAUCGCUAGUAAUGGCGCAUCAGCUACGGCGCCGUGAAUACGUUCCCGGGUCUUGCACACACCGCCCGUCA
This 1270-nucleotide ribosomal RNA is filed under the name uncultured bacterium. RNAcentral's name for it is "bacterial SSU rRNA". It matches the Rfam family "Bacterial small subunit ribosomal RNA", at positions 105 to 1399 of the family's 1533-position model. The record is from RNAcentral.